Molecule: RNA transcript, 4144 nt
Organism: Oncorhynchus nerka (sockeye salmon)
Lineage: Eukaryota; Metazoa; Chordata; Actinopteri; Salmoniformes; Salmonidae
Gene name: kynurenine--oxoglutarate transaminase 3
Exons: 15
Source: RefSeq, a predicted model, not a curated record
ACUAGAAUUUUCAGCUGCAUAUUUUAUGGUCCGUGCUAUCCGGAAUACUUGGAACGUCCCGUUGUAUUGGGUUUGGAGCUCUGCAACCAGAGCCCGGCGGGCCCCGACAUUAUACAUUGCUUUAGGGCCGGAUAUGAACAUUACACGUCGAACCCUCAGCUCUGCAUGCCGCUUGAUUAACAUCAACUGUAUCAGAAACAUCUCCUACUCACAGUGUGCUAUGACAUCAUCAAGGCAUACAAACUCCAAAAGGAUUGAGGGACUGGACAAGAAUGUUUGGGUGGCCUUCACCUCGGUGGCAGCAGACCCCACCAUAGUGAACCUGGGCCAGGGCUACCCUGACAUUCCUCCCCCAGCCUACGUCAAGGAGGCCCUGGCUAACGCUGCUGCAGUGGACAAGCUCAACCAGUACACAAGAGGCUUUGGCCACCCGUCUCUGGUGAAGGCUCUUUCUCAGGUGUAUGGGAAAGUGUAUGGACACCAGAUUGAUCCUUUCAAGGAGAUACUGGUCACAGUAGGUGGCUAUGGAUCCUUGUUCAGUACCAUGCAGGCACUGGUGGAAGUGGGAGAUGAGGUUAUAAUUAUCGAACCCUUCUUUGAUUGCUAUGUACCCAUGGUUCGAAUGGCAGGGGCAACACCUGUCUUGAUACCAUUACGACUUAGAUCCAAUAAGGAGACCAGUAGUGUUUCCAGUGCUGACUGGGUCCUGGAUCCAGAGGAACUAGCCAGUAAAUUCACCUCAAAGACCAAGGCCAUCAUUAUUAACACUCCUAACAACCCCAUUGGGAAGAUAUUCACCAAGGGUGAGCUUCAGACUAUCUCCGACCUCUGCAUCAAACACGAUACUCUGUGCAUCAGUGAUGAGGUGUAUGAAUGGCUCAUCUACAAGGGACACCAACACAUCAAAAUAGCCACUCUUCCUGGCAUGUGGGACAGAACGAUCACCAUCAGCAGUGCAGGGAAGACCUUUAGUGUGACGGGCUGGAAGCUUGGCUGGUCUAUAGGGCCAGAACACUUGAUAAAGCACCUCCAGACUGUUAUGCAGAACACCUUGUACACCUGUCCAACACCGCUACAGGAGGCUGUGGCCCAGGGCCUGCUGAGGGACUAUGAGCUGAUGGGUCAACCUGAGUGUUACUUCUCCUCGCUGGCCGUGGAGCUGGAGGGGAAGAGGGACCGCAUGGCUGCUAUCCUACAGGACGUUGGCAUGUCUCCUAUCAUACCUGAGGGAGGGUACUUCAUGUGCGUGGACGUCACACCCCUUAGUCAGGACUUGUCUCAUAUGGGGGAUGAUGAGCCUUACGACUACAAGUUUGUCAAGUGGAUGAUUAAGGAGAAGAAACUGGCAGCCAUUCCGGUCACAGCGUUCUGUGGUGAUGCUUCCAAGAAGCAGUUUGAGAAAUACAUCCGUCUAUGCUUCAUCAAGCAAGACAGCACUCUGGAUGCAGCCGAGGCUAUUCUCAAGAACUGGAACAAGUAAAAUAAGUCCUGUUGGAUGUAAGGGUUUGUCCCAAGACCCUCUGUUUUUACACCCCUAUAACACGUUACUUUGUAGGACAGGUAUGGAACUGUUUGUAGGACAGGUAUGGAACUGUUUGUAGGACAGGUAUGGAACUGUUUGUAGUACAGGUAUGGAACAGUUUGUAGGACAGGUAUGGACUGUUUGUAGGACAGGUAUGGAACAGUUUGUAGGACAGGUAUGGAACUGUUUGUAGUACAGGUAUGGAACAGUUUGUAGGACAGGUAUGGACUGUUUGUAGGACAGGUAUGGAACUGUUUGUAGUACAGGUAUGGAAUGGUUUGUAGGACAGGUAUGGGACUGUUUGUAGGACAGGUAUGGAACUGUUUGUAGUACAGGUAUGGAAUGGUUUGUAGGACACGUAUGGAACUGUUUGUAGUACAGGUAUGGAACUGUUUGUAGUACAGGUAUGGAACUGUUUGUAGGACAGGUAUGGGACUGUUUGUAGGACAGCUAUGGAACUGUUUGUAGGACAGGUAUGGAACAGUUUGUAGUACAGGUAUGGAACUGUUUGUAGGACAGGUAUGGAACUGUUUGUAGUACAGGUAUGGGACUGUUUGUAGUACAGGUAUGGGACUGUUUGUAGGACAGGUAUGGAACUGUUUGUAGUACAGGUAUGGAACUGUUUGUAGGACAGGUAUGGAACUGUUUGUAGGACAGGUAUGGGACUGUUUGUAGGACAGGUAUGGGACUGUUUGUAGGACAGGUAUGGAACUGUUUGUAGUACAGGUAUGGAACUGUUUGUAGGACAGGUAUGGAACUGUUUGUAGGACAGGUAUGGGACUGUUUGUGGGACAGGUAUGGGACUGUUUGUGGGACAGGUAUGGGACUGUUUGUAGGACAGGUAUGGACUGUUUGUAGGACAGGUAUGGAACUGUUUGUAGGACAGGUAUGGGACUGUUUGUAGGACAGGUAUGGAACAGUUUGUAGGACAGGUAUGGACUGUUUGUAGGACAGGUAUGGGACUGUUUGUAGGACAGGUAUGGGACUGUUUGUAGGACAGGUAUGGGACUGUUUGUAGGACAGGUAUGGGACUGUUUGUAGGACAGGUAUGGGACUGUUUGUAGGACAGGUAUGGACUGUUUGUAGGACAGGUAUGGAACUGUUUGUAGGACAGGUAUGGAACAGUUUGUAGGGCAGGUAUGGACUGUUUGUAGGACAGGUAUGGAACUGUUUGUAGGACAGGUAUGGGACUGUUUGUAGGACAGGUAUGGAACAGUUUGUAGGACAGGUAUGGACUGUUUGUAGGACAGGUAUGGGACUGUUUGUAGGACAGGUAUGGGACUGUUUGUAGGACAGCUAUGGGACUGUUUGUAGGACAGGUAUGGGACUGUUUGUAGGACAGGUAUGGAACUGUUUGUAGGACAGGUAUGGGACUGUUUGUAGGACAGGUAUGGAACUGUUUGUAGUACAGGUAUGGAACUGUUUGUAGGACAGGUAUGGGACUGUUUGUAGGACAGCUAUGGAACUGUUUGUAGGACAGGUAUGGAACAGUUUGUAGUACAGGUAUGGAACUGUUUGUAGGACAGGUAUGGAACUGUUUGUAGUACAGGUAUGGGACUGUUUGUAGUACAGGUAUGGGACUGUUUGUAGGACAGGUAUGGAACUGUUUGUAGUACAGGUAUGGAACUGUUUGUAGGACAGGUAUGGAACUGUUUGUAGGACAGGUAUGGGACUGUUUGUAGGACAGGUAUGGGACUGUUUGUAGGACAGGUAUGGAACUGUUUGUAGUACAGGUAUGGAACUGUUUGUAGGACAGGUAUGGAACUGUUUGUAGGACAGGUAUGGGACUGUUUGUGGGACAGGUAUGGGACUGUUUGUAGGACAGGUAUGGAACAGUUUGUAGGACAGGUAUGGACUGUUUGUAGGACAGGUAUGGAACUGUUUGUAGGACAGGUAUGGAACUGUUUGUAGGACAGGUAUGGAACAGUUUGUAGGACAGGUAUGGACUGUUUGUAGGACAGGUAUGGGACUGUUUGUAGGACAGGUAUGGGACUGUUUGUAGGACAGGUAUGGGACUGUUUGUAGGACAGGUAUGGGACUGUUUGUAGGACAGGUAUGGGACUGUUUGUAGGACAGGUAUGGACUGUUUGUAGGACAGGUAUGGAACUGUUUGUAGGACAGGUAUGGAACAGUUUGUAGGGCAGGUAUGGACUGUUUGUAGGACAGGUAUGGAACUGUUUGUAGGACAGGUAUGGGACUGUUUGUAGGACAGGUAUGGAACAGUUUGUAGGACAGGUAUGGACUGUUUGUAGGACAGGUAUGGAACUGUUUGUAGGACAGGUAUGGAACAGUUUGUAGGACAGGUAUGGAACUGUUUGCCCUGUUUAUAUUUGUAGACAUUUUCGUGUUUUUAUGUUCUUUUAUUAAUUCAUUUUUUAUUGCCUUUUUUGUUUUAGUUUUUAUCUCAUUUGAUUGGAUUUUAUAUGACACAUGGAAUGGAUUAACUUCCAGGUUUGUAUUUCCUCUUUGUGACAUAAGCGCUCGCUGAGUGGCACUCGUCAUCCUGUCAACAUCGUUUUUCUGUACCCUUCAUAUGAUGGGAUGGGACAGUUUUAAUCCUGUGCAACCCUCCUGGUUUGGUGUUGUAUUUCGUCUGUGAAUAAAAUAUAACUUUUUAAAAUA